Chelonoidis abingdonii (Abingdon island giant tortoise) is the source of this 89-nucleotide non-coding RNA. NCBI's taxonomy places the organism in Eukaryota, Metazoa, Chordata, Testudines, Testudinidae. The record is from RefSeq and is a predicted model, not a curated record.
CCUCAUUCUCAAAGGAAACCUGCACAAUACUGUCAAAAGCUGAGUCUGGGAGUUUAAAUUCAUAACUUUGCUAGACACUAAAAAUCACA